This is an RNA transcript of Prinia subflava (tawny-flanked prinia), 2424 nucleotides long. RefSeq lists it as uncharacterized. The transcript has 2 exons. NCBI's taxonomy places the organism in Eukaryota, Metazoa, Chordata, Aves, Passeriformes, Cisticolidae. The record is from RefSeq and is a predicted model, not a curated record.
GUGCUUUAUUUUUCUGGUUUGGGUGCCUGCCCAUAAGACGAGGUGGCAAUCCUCGCCGGGUUGGGCUAAGACGUCUGGUUGGUCUGGGAAGCCUAGGCGCCGGCUGUCAGACGCGGCGAAAGCUGCGCAGGUCCGGCACUUGCCCCUCGCGGCGUCGAGAAGCGGCAAGUUGGUAUUGGUCUGGUAUUUAUUCUGGUAUUUAUUCUGGUAUUUAUUUUGCUGUGUGAGUGAGAGUAUGUGGUAUGAUUGAUUUGUUGAACUGUCAAUAUUGACUGGAGUUAUUAUUGUUUUGUACGCUGCUGCAUAUUAGUUGUUGUUGAGUUGUUGUACAGCUGUAGGUGAAACCGGUUCAAAAUGCCAUUUAGAGCUCUUAAGUCUAUGGUUCAGUUUUCUAAGGGUAUACCUGAAAAUACUCCGUUAGGAUGUUUAAUGAAAAGGUGGAAGAGUGAAAGGUUUUUCCAAGAGAUGAAUAAAGACAAAAUGAUUGAAUAUUGGUGGCCAGAAUAUGAGCGAGAGGGGCCGGCAUGGCCAGAAAAUGGUACUGUGGAUUAUGAUACCCUGAAUUCACUAAUGCAGUAUUUAAAGGAAAAUGAAAAAUGGGAUGAAGUACAGUAUUUGGACUUGUUUUAUUUACUGCGCAGUAAAAAGGAGUGGCAGACUGAAUGUGGAAUAAUGGUAUUGGAGAUGAAAGGAUCUGGGUGCGGGGGCUGUAAAGGGAGAUCUAAAUGUGUCCAGUGCUUAGCCUUAACCUCUCGACCAGAGGAAGAUUUGUCUUUACUGGUGUCACCCGGAGCGCCGUCCGCCCCACCCUCCCCUGCUGCCUCAGCAUCCCCUGCCGCCUCGGUGUCCCCUGCUGCCUCAGCGUCCCCUGCUGUCACCUCCUUCCGCUGUUUCACCCCUCCCCUCUGUUUCACCCUAUUCCUCUUUGUGUCUGCCGUUGCCGGAGAGCAGUGCAGGGGAGGAAGGGGAGGGGGGGGAGGACAAAGGAGGCAAACAUAACAGUAGUACCAGGGAAUGCUAAAAAAGUUGUUGUGCGUCCCCCAACCCCUUCCCCUGUUUCUCCCCAAAAUCGGCGAAAUACUCCACUUGCGGCACGAACUAGACAAGGACGUAAGAAUCCCAGGGAACCCCAGCUUAUUGCUCCCUUAAGGGAAGCUAUGGGACCCCAAGGAGAGAAGGUGCUUGUGAAAGUGCCUUUCUCCCCAGGAGAUCUGGUGAUUUGGAAACAGUCAGCAGGGAGUUACCGUGAGAAUCCUGAAAGAGUAGCACGGGUGGUUGGGAUGAUUGUUAAAACACAGAAUCCAGAUUGGAUCGAUGUGCAGGUUUUGUUGGACACCCUGGUGGACUCCACCGAAGGGGAGAUGGUGCUGCGGGCAAUGGAGGAGCGUGCUCAGGCUGCAUCCAGGCAGAGGAGCUUUGGGAGACUUGGUGCCCAGUGACGAUCCAGGGAGUCAUCGAGAAAGAAACAAAACGUACCAGAAGAGUGAUGAAAGCCUUGACAAGAACCAACAAGAUGCAACUGUCUCACUUGACUCCUCCGAAAUAUGAAGAUGUCAUUAGGCGAGAGAACUCAGCAUUUGAAAGACCCGAUGACGACUGAGAAUUGAGCAUCCUUGCAGAAGACUGAAGAAUGCUCAAAAGGGGGGAGUUGUUGCCAUUUGAUUAAAAUAAACUGUAUUUAGCUAGUAGAGAACCUUAUAGUUGACAUUAGUAGUAGUAGUCAUGCUAAGGCUUGGUAGGCCGUGUGUAACCUGCAGAUGAACUUUAUGGUGAAACUUGCAAUGUAAGCAGUGUAGCUAAGAGAUAAUCACUUAUCUAAGGCAUGUACUUUUUGGCAGGAACCUAAAUGUCAAGAAGAUAGUAGUACCAGGUGUUAAAAUUAAGUAAGAUUUUGUUGCGAUGAAGGAAUCAUGUAAAGAAACAUAUAAAAACCUGGUGAAAUUUCUGUGAGAUGGGGCUCUGAUCUUGGACGCUAGUCCACGGCUCCCAGGGCCCUCAAUAAAGCACCGCAUAAACGACUUUGGUUGUUUGUGUUUUCUUCGGAUCGGGCAACACAACCUGACACUCUGUUGUCAGGGUGUUGGAAGCAGUCCAAAUAAGUCUUCCUGGAGUAACAGCUCUUGUUCUGUGAAGUAGAGAUGAUCCUGUAGAAAAAAGGGUCCAGUGCUGACGAGAUGGGUCUGGUCUUCCUCCAAAAAUUCAGUAGAAAGCCGGCUGAAUCAGUGUUUAGGAUCGCAGGUUUUAUGCUGGUUGAAAGCUUUGGCUGCUCCUACUGGGUGGAGCAUCUCACAAUGGAAUGAAGUAAUGUUAUCAGUCAUGUGAGAGGCCUUAAAUGGCCCAUUCACAGGUGAUGUCCCUCGGAGGAGGAUGGGUGGAGGAAGAGAUAAGAAGGCAUUGCCUUAUCUGGUGUUAUCAGUUGUCCCA